RNAcentral lists this ribosomal RNA (208 nucleotides) under uncultured bacterium. RNAcentral describes it as "partial 16S ribosomal RNA". It matches the Rfam family "Bacterial small subunit ribosomal RNA", at positions 568 to 774 of the family's 1533-position model. The record is from RNAcentral.
CGAGUAGGUGGCCAUCUAAGUCAGACGUGAAAUCCCCCCGGCUUAACCUGGGAACUGCGUCUGAUACUGGACGGCUUGAGUAUGGGAGAGGGAUGUAGAAUUCCAGGUGUAGCGGUGAAAUGCGUAGAUAUCUGGAGGAAUACCGGUGGCGAAGGCGGCAUCCUGGACCAUUACUGACACUGAACCGCGAAAGCUAGGGGAGCAAACG